RNAcentral lists this transfer RNA (75 nucleotides) under Streptomyces phage FlowerPower. Its description in RNAcentral is "tRNA-Leu". It matches the Rfam family "tRNA". From Rfam's summary of the family: Transfer RNA (tRNA) molecules are approximately 80 nucleotides in length. Their secondary structure includes four short double-helical elements and three loops (D, anti-codon, and T loops). Lineage: Duplodnaviria; Heunggongvirae; Uroviricota; Caudoviricetes. RNAcentral also lists the same sequence under 5 other names. The record is from RNAcentral.
GGUCCACUAGCCCAAUUGGUAGAGGCGACAGGUUUAGGCCCUGUGCGGUGGCGGUUCGAAUCCGUCGUGGACUAC